This 1196-nucleotide ribosomal RNA is filed under the name Vibrio cholerae. RNAcentral describes it as "partial 23S ribosomal RNA". It matches the Rfam family "Bacterial large subunit ribosomal RNA", at positions 1593 to 2772 of the family's 2925-position model. Lineage: Bacteria; Pseudomonadati; Pseudomonadota; Gammaproteobacteria; Vibrionales; Vibrionaceae. The record is from RNAcentral.
AUUGAUGCCAUGCUUCCAGGAAAAGCCUCUAAGCUUCAGAUAGUCAGGAAUCGUACCCCAAACCGACACAGGUGGUCGGGUAGAGAAUACCAAGGCGCUUGAGAGAACUCGGGUGAAGGAACUAGGCAAAAUGGUACCGUAACUUCGGGAGAAGGUACGCUCUUGAUGGUGAAGUCCCUCGCGGAUGGAGCUGACGAGAGUCGCAGAUACCAGGUGGCUGCAACUGUUUAUUAAAAACACAGCACUGUGCAAAAUCGCAAGAUGACGUAUACGGUGUGACGCCUGCCCGGUGCCGGAAGGUUAAUUGAUGGGGUUAGCGCAAGCGAAGCUCUUGAUCGAAGCCCCGGUAAACGGCGGCCGUAACUAUAACGGUCCUAAGGUAGCGAAAUUCCUUGUCGGGUAAGUUCCGACCUGCACGAAUGGCGUAAUGAUGGCCACGCUGUCUCCACCCGAGACUCAGUGAAAUUGAAAUCGCUGUGAAGAUGCAGUGUACCCGCGGCUAGACGGAAAGACCCCGUGAACCUUUACUACAGCUUGGCACUGAACAUUGAACCUACAUGUGUAGGAUAGGUGGGAGGCUAUGAAGACGUGACGCCAGUUGCGUUGGAGCCGUCCUUGAAAUACCACCCUUGUAUGUUUGAUGUUCUAACUUAGACCCGUUAUCCGGGUUGAGGACAGUGCCUGGUGGGUAGUUUGACUGGGGCGGUCUCCUCCCAAAGAGUAACGGAGGAGCACGAAGGUGGGCUAAUCACGGUUGGACAUCGUGAGGUUAGUGCAAUGGCAUAAGCCCGCUUAACUGCGAGAAUGACGGUUCGAGCAGGUGCGAAAGCAGGUCAUAGUGAUCCGGUGGUUCUGUAUGGAAGGGCCAUCGCUCAACGGAUAAAAGGUACUCCGGGGAUAACAGGCUGAUACCGCCCAAGAGUUCAUAUCGACGGCGGUGUUUGGCACCUCGAUGUCGGCUCAUCACAUCCUGGGGCUGAAGUCGGUCCCAAGGGUAUGGCUGUUCGCCAUUUAAAGUGGUACGCGAGCUGGGUUUAGAACGUCGUGAGACAGUUCGGUCCCUAUCUGCCGUGGGCGUUGGAAGAUUGAAGGGGGCUGCUCCUAGUACGAGAGGACCGGAGUGGACGAACCUCUGGUGUUCGGGUUGUGUCGCCAGACGCAUUGCCCGGUAGCUAAGUUCGGAAUUGAUAAGCGCU